AUCGAAAGAAGAGGACGCGAUUAACAAGAGUAGUUGAGCUGAGCCGGUCAGGUGUGGACGCUUAAUGAAAGGGGCAAUCGCCGAAAUGGAACGGGUGGACCACCUAAUCUGUUGGGCCUUGGUUGAAUAAAUCAAGGACUGUCGCAGUCAUUAAUAGGCUGCGGGGCGCUAUCGACGAU
This 179-nucleotide non-coding RNA is filed under the name Lactiplantibacillus fabifermentans. RNAcentral's name for it is "Lactobacillus fabifermentans Lysine sequence". It matches the Rfam family "Lysine riboswitch aptamer". From Rfam's summary of the family: Riboswitches are metabolite binding domains within certain messenger RNAs that serve as precision sensors for their corresponding targets. Allosteric rearrangement of mRNA structure is mediated by ligand binding, and this results in modulation of gene expression. This family includes riboswitches that sense lysine in a number of genes involved in lysine metabolism, including lysC. Lineage: Bacteria; Bacillati; Bacillota; Bacilli; Lactobacillales; Lactobacillaceae. The record is from RNAcentral.